CCUCUGUUUACAUGUCCAUUAAAGGGAACUUCUAAGACCACAUUACUGGUUCCACUUGUUUGGAUGUGAUUUUUUGGCUUGCGUUUUUUUGUUUUUAAUGUAAGCGUACUAAAAUAUAAAGCUUUCUUCCUUUACUCUGUGGUUUUUCUCCCAACUUGUCACAGUAUUUCUUCUCCAGUUUUAUUGAUCUAUAACUUAGCUAUAACACUGUGUAAGUUUAAGGUUUACGAUGUAAUGACUUGAUAUGUAGGUAUGUAUAUUUAAUAUGUGCACUUAUUGCAAAAUGAUUACUACAAUAAGCUUAGCACAUACAAGACAUGACUUUUAAAUAAUACAUCUGGUAUCAGAUUAUCAACCUUUUGGUCCACACUGUACUCUGUAUCACUCUCAUUAGUCAGAAAAAGAUUCUCAGAACAGUGGGACAUGCAGUCACAAAGGGGCAACUAGUGGUUUCAUAACUGACAAAAAACGGUCUGCCUUUCUUCCAUGAGAUAUCAGACGUGCUCUAAAUAUGCAAAAGAAAACAGAUAAUGCACCAAGUUCAGAGAAAAGAAUGAAUGUUCUGCUAGUGUCAUAACAGGAAAGACUUAAAGCAAAGAGAAUUCAUGUCAAUUUAACCACCAAGAACCUAAUGUUAGCUUUUUCCUUUUCCUUCUUUAUGAACCAAUUUUCUUUCUUUAAAAUACCCUUUCUUUUAUAAAAUGAUGGUAUUGUAGGUGAUUAUUUCUUUUUUAAUACUCAUAUUUGUUUUGUUUUGAAUUUGAAAAUGAAAAAAUGAAGAAUAUAACAAAUACUUAUGAAUUCAUUGCCCAUCACCCCCAAGAUAACAAAUGGUACUAUAUGGCUGUUUUUGCUUCAGAUAUAUUUUACCAAAAAAAUAAAAUUAUAGAGAUAAAGCAGAAGUCCCUUGAAACUCUGCUUUUUUUUGGAAAAAAAUAUGGAAUUUAAAGUCUAAUUCCACCUCUAUCUCCCCAGUGACAGCCACAUUGGUGUGUGCAUCUAUAUAGCUGUCUAUCUGUAUUUUUCUAUACAUAGGAAAAGUAUAAAAAUAAGACUGUUUCUAUACCCGCAUGUGCUUGUAAAACAGUAGGACUAGUUUCAACAUUAUUUCUCCUAAGAAUGCAUAUUUUCCCCAAGUUUGUCUUAAUACCCUGAAGAUUGAAGGCAGCAUGGUGGAGUGACAAAAUUGGUGAGCUAGAAAUGAGAAUAACCAGGACUGUUCCCGGAGCCACCAUUUACUCCUUGUGGGAUUGUAGUGCAGUUAGCUUCCCUUUUUGUAAAAUGAGAAUGCUGGAUGCAAGGAUCUCCAAGAUCUCUUCCACCUUUGAAAUCUUAUGACUCCAAGGUUGAAUUUCCUCAUCUGUCAAAUGGAGAUACUAACGUCUGCUCUGAGAACUGUUGUAAAAAUCCCAGAUGUGCAGGUGCUCUGCAAAGCACGAGGAGGAGGAGGACGGUGAUGAUAACUGAACAAUACUGAAUAACAAUUAGCAGUAAUACUCCAAACAAGCAGUUCAGCACAAGAAGAGGCUCUCUUAACUCUACCCAUGAUGAUUUAGCGAAUAAAAUACUAAAAGUGCUUCAUUCUGAAAGGGUCUUCUCUACAAAGGCAUUCCUCAGACAGAACCAGGGAGAAAACCAGUAUACUCCGCUCCUGAAUGUGCUGAAGCUACUUUUAAUUGCAUCAGAUAAAGAUACGAGGAGCCUGACUGCACUCAACAGAUGAGAGACAUUUCAAACGUUCAUUUUCCAUCCUGACAAAUUCCAGCAACUAACACAAAACGUCUCAACUUUAAGAGACCCUCACCAUUUAUAAGGUUUCAGGAUUCCGAAAACGUCCCCUUCCAUUCCCUCAGGUCUGGUGGUCGCGCAAUCUGUUUUCCCGUGGCCACGCGACUUUGUUUAUAAAAGAGUUUAGUAACCAGCGUAAAAAGAGCAUCUAGACAUGCUGACAUUGGGAUCACCGGGGUCACGGGGAGAUGUCUGAGGUCACAUGUUUACCCUGUCGCUGUGAAUCGUUUAUUACAAUUUUUUUAAACAGGAUGGGGUGGGGAUACAGCACAAACGCUUAGCGCCAAGAACAUGGUCAGAAGUGCUGCCUGGACUAGAGAAUAAAAAGGAACCUUUCCCGGGGAAAGGUAGGGUGACACCACACAACCUUACCUUUCGGAAAAAGACCGGAGCGCCCAGCACUGAAUGCUUACCUGAGGCCACCGGAGCCGGGGGUCAUUUUGGGUGUCGCUCAUUUGCCUGCCUAGAACAUUCCAAUGACAUUCUACCAGCUUUCUGCAUGCCAGUCAUGACAAGCGUCCACUUAAGAUUCUGGGAAGGGGCAGAGGAGGGGGACUGCAAGCGAAGAAGUGAGCGAAAGAGAAAGAGGCCCCAGCACACCGCAUACCGGGCUGGAAGGGAGUCACAUGCAGCGAGGAGCCAUUCCUGCCGCAUUACACAUGCUGAGUGUAAAUGGCAAACAAUAGCAGUCGAUGUUUAUGCCACAUGUUCUCAGCCUCUUCACAUAUCAACACCCAGGCCAACUCUACACAGACAGGCCUCCAGAGAGCGCCUCUGAAGCGGGGGCCCUGGAGCUAAUCACGUGGCCAUUUUCAAUAAAAUUCCUAA
Manis javanica (Malayan pangolin) is the source of this 2616-nucleotide long non-coding RNA. RefSeq lists it as uncharacterized. NCBI's taxonomy places the organism in Eukaryota, Metazoa, Chordata, Mammalia, Pholidota, Manidae. The record is from RefSeq and is a predicted model, not a curated record.